RNAcentral lists this ribosomal RNA (370 nucleotides) under uncultured bacterium. RNAcentral describes it as "partial 16S ribosomal RNA". It matches the Rfam family "Bacterial small subunit ribosomal RNA", at positions 338 to 725 of the family's 1533-position model. The record is from RNAcentral.
CCUACGGGUGGCAGCAGUGGGGGAUAUUGCACAAUGGGGGGAACCCUGAUGCAGCGACGCCGCGUGGGUGAAGGAGCGUUUCGGCGCGUAAAGCCCUAUCGGCAGGGAAGAAGAUGACGGUACCUGACCAAUAAGCCCCGGCUAACUACUUGCCAGCAGCCGCGGUAAUACGUCGGGGUCAAGCGUUAUCCGGAUUUACUGGGUGUCAAGGGGGCGCAGACGGCAAUGCAAGCCAGGAAUGAAAGCCCGGGGGCCAACCCCGGGACUGCUCUAGGAACUGCAUGGCUGGAGUACAGGAGGGGCAAGCGGAAUUCCAAGGGUAGCGGUGAAAGGGGGAGAUAUUAGGAGGAAGACCGGUGGCGAAGGCGGC